UCCCUGGUGGUCCAGUGGUUAGGACUCCCAGCUUCCACUGCAGGGGGCCCAGGUUUGACCUCUGGUCGGGGAA
Molecule: non-coding RNA, 73 nt
Organism: Bos taurus (domestic cattle)
Lineage: Eukaryota; Metazoa; Chordata; Mammalia; Artiodactyla; Bovidae
Source: Rfam